This 301-nucleotide ribosomal RNA is filed under the name uncultured bacterium. RNAcentral describes it as "partial 16S ribosomal RNA". It matches the Rfam family "Bacterial small subunit ribosomal RNA", at positions 509 to 807 of the family's 1533-position model. The record is from RNAcentral.
CAGCAGCCACGGUAAUACGUAGGUGGCAAGCGUUGUCCGGAAUUAUUGGGCGUAAAGCGCGCGCAGGUGGUUUAAUAAGUCUGAUGUGAAAGCCCACGGCUCAACCGUGGAGGGUCAUUGGAAACUGUUAAACUUGAGUGCAGGAGAGAAAAGUGGAAUUCCUAGUGUAGCGGUGAAAUGCGUAGAGUUUAGGAGGAACACCAGUGGCGAAGGCGGCUUUUUGGCCUGUAACUGACACUGAGGCGCGAAAGCGUGGGGAGCAAACAGGAUUAGAUACCCCCGUAGUCCCUGUCUCUUAUAC